GGGGGCGUAAAGGUUUCGACGGGGAGAGCGAGGUCUGGGCAGCGGGUAGCAGUGGGGGAACUGCUCUAUAACUCCUCCAAAAAAAUUAACUGACAAUAACAAUUCUCAGUUGCUCGCAGCCUGAGUGCUGCGCGUUCCGCCCACUCUUGUGUCGUGUGGGGCCGGGGCGUCCUUUAGAC
This 179-nucleotide transfer-messenger RNA is filed under the name Faecalibacterium sp. RNAcentral describes it as "partial transfer-messenger RNA". It matches the Rfam family "transfer-messenger RNA", at positions 1 to 197 of the family's 374-position model. From Rfam's summary of the family: Bacterial tmRNA, also known as 10Sa RNA or SsrA, is named for its dual tRNA and mRNA-like properties. Its role is to liberate the mRNA from a stalled ribosome. Lineage: Bacteria; Bacillati; Bacillota; Clostridia; Eubacteriales; Oscillospiraceae. The record is from RNAcentral.